GUUUCUCCAUGUUGGUCAGGCUGGUCUCAAACUCCAGACCUCAGGUGAUCUGCCCGCUUCAGCAUCCCAAAGUGCUGGGAUUAUAGAUGUGAGCCACUGUGCCCGGCCUAGUUGUUUUGUGGUUUUUAAUUAGUACAGUUUACUUGAUAGUUUCAAAGUACUUUUUUUUUUUUUUUUUUGAGACAGGCCUCACUGCAUUGCCCAGGCUAGAGUGCAGUGGUGUGAUGACUGAGGCUCACUACAGCUUGGAUUUCCCAGGCUCAGGUGAUCCUCCCACCUCAGCCUCUCACAGGUGCGCACCACCAGGCUCAGCUACUUUUUUGUAUUUUUUUUGUAGAGAGUUUUGCCAUGUUGCCCAGGCUGGUCUCAAACUCCUGCACUCAAGUGAUCUGCCUGCCUCAGUCUCCCAGAGUGCUGGGAUUACAGCUCUGAUUCAGAUUUUGAAUGGACGUUUGUAUGUAUACCACAGUGCUACAGUAAAAACGAGUCAUGUGGAUGUGGAAAAGGGGGCUGAUCAGGACUCCCUGUUUGCUAACAAAUUCUACAGCAGAAACAAAGUAUUAAGGUUUGGAGCCAGGAAGCAAGUGCAUGGGGAAUAAGCCUGCAGCCUCUUCCAAAUGAGACAGAGCCAAAUCUUUUAGAUAUCCCUGAGUCUAUUUUCUUCAUUUCUAUUAAACUAAGGUCCUUUUUAAGCAGUCGAAUUGUCAUCCAAA
This is a long non-coding RNA of Macaca mulatta (Rhesus monkey), 713 nucleotides long. RefSeq lists it as uncharacterized. NCBI's taxonomy places the organism in Eukaryota, Metazoa, Chordata, Mammalia, Primates, Cercopithecidae. The record is from RefSeq and is a predicted model, not a curated record.